CUGGGUGCUUACACAUGCAGUCGAACGGUGAACACAGGAGCUUGCUCUGGGGGAUCAGUGGCGAACGGGUGAGUAACACGUGAGCAACCUGCCCCUGACUCUGGGAUAAGCGCUGGAAACGGCGUCUAAUACUGGAUAUGUGACGUGACCGCAUGGUCUGCGUUUGGAAAGAUUUUUCGGUUGGGGAUGGGCUCGCGGCCUAUCAGCUUGUUGGUGAGGUAAUGGCUCACCAAGGCGUCGACGGGUAGCCGGCCUGAGAGGGUGACCGGCCACACUGGGACUGAGACACGGCCCAGACUCCUACGGGAGGCAGCAGUGGGGAAUAUUGCACAAUGGGCGAAAGCCUGAUGCAGCAACGCCGCGUGAGGGAUGACGGCCUUCGGGUUGUAAACCUCUUUUAGCAGGGAAGAAGCGAAAGUGACGGUACCUGCAGAAAAAGCGCCGGCUAACUACGUGCCAGCAGCCGCGGUAAUACGUAGGGCGCAAGCGUUAUCCGGAAUUAUUGGGCGUAAAGAGCUCGUAGGCGGUUUGUCGCGUCUGCUGUGAAAUCCCGAGGCUCAACCUCGGGCCUGCAGUGGGUACGGGCAGACUAGAGUGCGGUAGGGGAGAUUGGAAUUCCUGGUGUAGCGGUGGAAUGCGCAGAUAUCAGGAGGAACACCGAUGGCGAAGGCAGAUCUCUGGGCCGUAACUGACGCUGAGGAGCGAAAGGGUGGGGAGCAAACAGGCUUAGAUACCCUGGUAGUCCACCCCGUAAACGUUGGGAACUAGUUGUGGGGUCCAUUCCACGGAUUCCGUGACGCAGCUAACGCAUUAAGUUCCCCGCCUGGGGAGUACGGCCGCAAGGCUAAAACUCAAAGGAAUUGACGGGGACCCGCACAAGCGGCGGAGCAUGCGGAUUAAUUCGAUGCAACGCGAAGAACCUUACCAAGGCUUGACAUAUACGAGAACGGGCCAGAAAUGGUCAACUCUUUGGACACUCGUAAACAGGUGGUGCAUGGUUGUCGUCAGCUCGUGUCGUGAGAUGUUGGGUUAAGUCCCGCAACGAGCGCAACCCUCGUUCUAUGUUGCCAGCACGUAAUGGUGGGAACUCAUGGGAUACUGCCGGGGUCAACUCGGAGGAAGGUGGGGAUGACGUCAAAUCAUCAUGCCCCUUAUGUCUUGGGCUUCACGCAUGCUACAAUGGCCGGUACAAAGGGCUGCAAUACCGUGAGGUGGAGCGAAUCCCAAAAAGCCGGUCCCAGUUCGGAUUGAGGUCUGCAACUCGACCUCAUGAAGUCGGAGUCGCUAGUAAUCGCAGAUCAGCAACGCUGCGGUGAAUACGUUCCCGGGUCUUGUACACACCGCCCGUCAAGUCAUGAAAGUCGGUAACACCUGAAGCCGGUGGCCUAACCCUUGUGGAGGGAGCCCGUCGA
RNAcentral lists this ribosomal RNA (1412 nucleotides) under Microbacterium paraoxydans. RNAcentral's name for it is "bacterial SSU rRNA". It matches the Rfam family "Bacterial small subunit ribosomal RNA". The record is from RNAcentral. Lineage: Bacteria; Bacillati; Actinomycetota; Actinomycetes; Micrococcales; Microbacteriaceae.